UUGAAUUUGGGGUUUCCAUUUCUUUUUUGGGUCGUAAGAAAAGCGACUCCAUGAAAAUGAACUUUAAUCAAAAUGUAGUCCUUUAAAUAGGUAAAUAUUGAUUUGGGAAUUAUUUGAUGCAGAGACCUAGAGGAUUGAAGGCAAUGGGAAGUAUGGAAAGUGACUCAGAAUGAGAGUUUUAAUGGAUGCAAGAGUAUUUUGGUUUUUGAUGGUUAGAUAGGAGGGACAACUAGAAACAUGGUUUUUUUUUUUUUUUUU
RNAcentral lists this unclassified non-coding RNA (258 nucleotides) under Hevea brasiliensis (rubber tree). Lineage: Eukaryota; Viridiplantae; Streptophyta; Magnoliopsida; Malpighiales; Euphorbiaceae. The record is from RNAcentral.